CAGUGUCAAGAAAAAAGGGGGAAUGAUAUGUGAGUGUUGAGAUGUAACAAGAACUAAUCCUUUUUGCAGUGGGAUGGAGCCUGGAAACUGCCCAGAGCUGAGCCCAGGGAUUGAAAGGGACCAAGCAAGGGAGGUGAAGAAAGAAGGAAGAAGGGAAGUGAGGCAGCAGGCAAGCAGCACCAAGUUGCUGUGUAAGCAGGUGAGUUGUGUUGAGGUUCCUCAGGCAGGCACUGAGGACUUGGAGGGCUCCAGACAGAGCAGACCUGGGAAGGCCCUCGGUGAAGCUCCUUGGAAACCUUCUAAGGGUAGGUGUGUGUGGUGAUAAGUGUUGGGAUUGUCCUGAAUGUGGAACAGGAAUGCAGGGAAGGAAAAUGAACCCUCCUGUAAUGCUGACCCCUCCCAUCAGCUGCAGUGGAGACACCUGUGUGUGCCUGCAGGUAAGAAAAGCUGGGAGAUUUGUGUCAGUUGGGGGUCAUUUUUUUGGGGAGAUUUGUGUCAGUUUGGGGUCAUUUUUUAGGGAGAUUUCGGUUGUUUUCUGGCCUUUUUUUAUGGAGAUUUGUGUCAGUUUUGGGUCAUUUUUUGGGGAGAUUUGUGUCAGUUUUGGGUCAUUUUUUGGGGAGAUUUGUGUCAGUUUUGGGUCAUUUUAUGGGGAGAUUUGUGUCAGUUUCUGGCCUUUUUUUGGGGAGAUUUGUGUCAGUUUUGGGUCAUUUUUUGGGGAGAUUUGUGCAGUUUCUGACCAUUUUUUUAGUGCUAUUUGUGUCAGUUUUGGGUCAUUUUUUGGGGAGAUUUGUGUCAGUUUCUGACCAUUUUUUGGGGAGAUUUGUGUCUGUUUUGGGUCAUUUUUUGGGGAGAUUUGUGUCAGUUUUUGGCCAUUUUUUGGGGAGAUUUGUGUCAGUUUCUGGCCACUUUUUAGGGAGAUUUGUGUCAGUUUUGGGUCAUUUUUUGGGGAGAUUUGUGUCAGUUUUGGGUCAUUUUUUGGGGAGAUUUGUGUCAGUUUUGGGUCAUUUUUUGGGAGAUUUGUGUCAGUUUUGGGUCAUUUUUUGGGGAGAUUUGUGUCAGUUUUGGGUCAUUUUUUGGGGAGAUUUGUGUCAGUUUUGGGUCAUUUUUUGGAGAGAUUUGUGUCUGUUUCUGACCUUUUUUUUGGGAGAUUUGUUUCAGUUUCUGGCCUUUUUUUGGGGAGAUUUGUGUCAGUUUUGGGUCAUUUUUGGGGAGAUUUGUGUCAGUUUUGGGUCAUUUUUUGGGGAGAUUUGGGACAGUUUCUGGCCAUUUUUUUGGGGAGAUUUGUGUCAGUUUUGGGUCAUUUUUUAGGGAGAUUUGUGUCAGUUUCUGGCCAUUUUUUUGGGGAGAUUUGUGUCAGUUUUGGGUCAUUUUUUGGGAGAUUUGUGUCAGUUUUGGGUCAUUUUUUGGGGAGAUUUGGGUGACUUUCUGGCUGGUUUUUUUGGGAGAUUUGGGUGAGUUUCUGGCCAUUUUUUUGGGGAGAUUUGUGUCAGUUUUGGGUCAUUUUUUGGGGAGAUUUGUGUCAGUUUGGGUCAUUUUUUGGGGAGAUUUGUGUCAGUUUCUGGCCAUUUUUUUGGGGAGAUUUGUGUCAGUUUUGGCUCAAUUUUUGAGGAGAUUUGUGUCAGUUUUGGGUCAUUUUUUGGGGAGAUUUGUGUCAGUUUCUGGCCAUUUUUUGGGGAGAUUUGUGUCAGUUUUGGGUCAUUUUUUGGGGAGAUUUGUGUCAGUUUUGGGCCACUUUUUAGGGAGAUUUGUGUCAGUUUUGGUCUUUUUUUGGAGAGAUCUGUGUCACUUUUGGGUCAUUUUUUAGGAGAUUUGUGUCAGUUUUGGGUCAUUUUUUUGGGGAGAUUUGUGUCAGUUUUGGCUCAUUUUUUGGGGAGAUUUGUGUCAGUUUUGGGUCUUUUUUUGGGGAGAUUUGUGUCAGUUUUGGGUCAUUUUUUGGUGAGAUUUGUGUCAGUUUUGGGCCACUUUUUAGGGAGAUUUGUGUCAGUUUUGGGUCAUUUUUUAGGGAGAUUUGUGUCAGUUUUGGGUCAUUUUUUAGGGAGAUUUGUGUCAGUUUUGGGUCAUUUUUUGGGGAGAUUUGUGUCAGUUUUGGGUCAUUUUUGGGAGAUUUGUGUCAGUUUUGGGUCAUUUUUUGGGGAGAUUUGGGAGAGUUUCUGACCAUAUUUUGGGGAGAUUUGUGUCAGUUUUGGGUCAUUUUUUGGGAGAUUUGUGUCAGUUUCUGGCCAUUUUUUUGGGGAGAUUUGUGUCAUUUCUGGCCAUUUUUUUGGGGAGAUUUGUGUCAGUUUUGGGUCAUUUUUUAGGGAGAUUUGUGUCUCUUUCUGACCAUUUUUUUUGAGAGAUUUGGGUGAGUUUCUGGCCUUUUUUUUUAGGGAGAUUUGGGAGAGUUUCUGGCCAUUUUUUUGGGGAGAUUUGUGUCAGUUUUGGGUCAUUUGUGACAUGUAUUGGCUUUUGCACGAGCCUUGUCUGCCUUAUGUUUGAAUUGCUUUCUCUUCUCGGCAGUUGUUUUAAAUUAAACUUUUAUUUUGUGUC
This is a long non-coding RNA of Pseudopipra pipra, 2526 nucleotides long. RefSeq lists it as uncharacterized. Lineage: Eukaryota; Metazoa; Chordata; Aves; Passeriformes; Pipridae. The transcript is spliced from 2 exons. The record is from RefSeq and is a predicted model, not a curated record.